CUGGACGUACACGACGCGCCAUCGAGCCGCCGCCGUCAGUUGGGCGGUUGGGCCUCAGCGUACGGCCGAGGACGGACAGGAUAGGGAGAGGACGCGCUGGGGCGUUGGCCUUGCGCUUCCCCUCUUCCGUCGAUCCGGCUGCUCCCGGUCCCCCACAAUCCGGCGUCGCAGGGUCCCAAAAACUCGGGAUCCCGGCGGAAGAUGGCCGCCUCCUGCUCCUUCCGCUCCGUCGUCCGGGCGCCUCCGCUCUCCCGGAGCCUCGCCAGGAGCGCGGUGCGCUGCCGCCGCGCCGCCACGCCGGGGGCCGGUGGUGCCGCCUCCACCUCCAAGCUUGUCGUGGAGGUGAAAGAACGGCUGGCGAGGGAGCACCCGGGCCUCCCCACGGGCAGGAACGGGAGGGACGAUGACGACAUGAUCCUCUGGUUCUUGAAGGACCGCAAGUUCUCCGUCGACGAAGCUGUCUCCAAGCUCACCAAGGCCAUUAAAUGGCGUCAGGACUUUGGUGUAUCAGAAUUAUCUGAAGAAUCAGUGAAAGGCUUGUACCAAACUGGCAAGGCAUAUGUACAUGAUUCUUUGGACAUUGAUGGCAGACCUGUGCUAGUUGUAAUAGCAGCCAAACAUUUUCCUUCGACACAAGAUCCAGUUGAAAAUGAGAAGCUAUGUGCCUAUUUGGUCGAGAAAGCAAUAAACAGACUUCCCUCAGGGGAAGAGAAUAUACUUGGAAUCUUUGAUCUGCGAGGCUUCCGUGUUGAAAAUGGUGAUCUCCAGUUCUUAAAGUUUUUGAUUGAUGUUUUCUACUAUUACUAUCCGAAGCAGCUUGGCCAAGUUCUUUUUGUAGAUGCUCCAUUUGUUUUUCAACCAAUGUGGCAGGUUGUUAAACCUCUUUUGAGAUCAUAUGCCUCCCUGGUGAGAUUUUGCGAUUCUGAGACUGUGAGGAAAGAAUACUUCACAGAAGAAACCGUGCCUCCUGAUUUCCACUGUUAAAUGUCUUGAUUUCUUCAGUAGCAGAUCAUUAUCCAGGAACGGCUCUGGCAGGUUUUGGUUGCAGUAAAAACUAAGUUGCAGAGAUAUUGUCGGUGGUUGCUCAAAUAUGGCCUUGUUUGCUUGUCGGAGUGGCACAUGAGCACCUCCAUUCCUCCAAUUAGGAAGUGACUCCAUCAGUUUUUUAGUCUCGUUACUUUGUGGCCAGGAAAUAGAAGACGCGACUGAAGAUUUGUGAAUACAGUGCCGCAUCUGGUGACACGAGAGAAUGUCUUGGACGACGGGCGAAGAAAGUUUUGCCAGCAGUUCAAGAGGGCUCUAGAGUAGAGGUCAUGAUGAGAACUGAGAGUGCUGUAUUGGUGUUUGUCUGCAGUUGUCCUUCUAUGACAUGUCAUAUGUAUAAGUAUAUAUGAACACACUGUCUGGGGUACCGCUUUGGUAACAAAUCUUAAAUUAAGCAUGAGCA
Molecule: RNA transcript, 1447 nt
Organism: Panicum virgatum (switchgrass)
Lineage: Eukaryota; Viridiplantae; Streptophyta; Magnoliopsida; Poales; Poaceae
Gene name: motile sperm domain-containing protein 2-like
Exons: 7
Source: RefSeq, a predicted model, not a curated record